Molecule: unclassified non-coding RNA, 303 nt
Filed under: plant metagenome
Description: partial contains 5.8S ribosomal RNA, internal transcribed spacer 2, and large subunit ribosomal RNA
Rfam family: 5.8S ribosomal RNA (bases 1-105)
Source: RNAcentral
GAAAUGCGAUAAGUAAUGUGAAUUGCAGAAUUCAGUGAAUCAUCGAAUCUUUGAACGCACAUUGCGCUCGCCAGUAUUCUGGCGGGCAUGCCUGUUCGAGCGUCAUUUCAACCAUCAAGCCCCGCGCUUGUGUUGGGGACCUGCGGCUGCCGCAGGCCCUGAAAACCAGUGGCGGGCUCGCUGUCACACCGGGCGUAGUAGAUUUUAUCUCGCUCAGGGCGUGCUGCGGGUUCCGGCCGUUAAAAAGCCUUUUUUACCCAAGGUUGACCUCGGAUCAGGUAGGAAGACCCGCUGAACUUAAGC